GACGGCGUACCUUUUGUAUAAUGGGUCAGCGACUUACAUUCAGUGGCGAGGUUAACCGAAUAGGGAAGCCGUAGAGAAAUCGAGUCCGAAUAGGGCGAAUAGUCGCUGGGUGUAGACCCGAAACCAAGUGAUCUAUCCAUGGCCAGGAUGAAGGUACCGUAACAGGUGCUGGAGGUCCGAACCGACUAGUGUUGCAAAACUAGCGGAUGAGCUGUGGAUAGGGGUGAAAGGCUAAACAAACUUGGAAAUAGCUGGUUCUCUCCGAAAACUAUUUAGGUAGUGCCUCAAGUAUUACCUGCGGGGGUAGAGCACUGUUUAGGCUAGGGGGUCAUGGCGACUUACCAAACCUAUGCAAACUCCGAAUACCGCAGAGUACAGCUUGGGAGACAGAGCACCGGGUGCUAACGUCCGGACUCAAGAGGGAAACAACCCAGACCGCCAGCUAAGGUCCCUAAAAUUGGCUAAGUGGGAAACGAAGUGGGAAGGCUAAAACAGUCAGGAUGUUGGCUUAGAAGCAGCCAUCAUUUAAAGAAAGCGUAAUAGCUCACUGAUCGAGUCGUCCUGCGCGGAAGAUGUAACGGGGCUAAGCCAGUUACCGAAGCUGCGGAUGCAUCGCAAGAUGCGUGGUAGGAGAGCGUUCUGUAAGCCUGUGAAGGUGGGUUGUGAAGCCUGCUGGAGGUAUCAGAAGUGCGAAUGCUGACAUGAGUAGCGUUAAAGGGGGUGAAAAGCCCCCUCGCCGAAAGCGCAAGGUUUCCUACGCAACGUUCAUCGGCGUAGGGUGAGUCGGCCCCUAAGGCGAGGCAGAGAUGCGUAGCUGAUGGGAAACAGGUCAAUAUUCCUGUACCGAUCAAUAGUGCGAUGUGGGGACGGAGAAGGUUAGCUCAGCCAACUGUUGGAUAUGUUGGUUCAAGCGUGUAGUCGUGCUCUUUAGGCAAAUCCGGAGAGCUUAGAUGAGGCGUGAU
Molecule: ribosomal RNA, 962 nt
Filed under: Salmonella enterica
Lineage: Bacteria; Pseudomonadati; Pseudomonadota; Gammaproteobacteria; Enterobacterales; Enterobacteriaceae
Description: partial 23S ribosomal RNA
Rfam family: Bacterial large subunit ribosomal RNA
Source: RNAcentral